RNAcentral lists this ribosomal RNA (477 nucleotides) under uncultured bacterium. RNAcentral's name for it is "partial 16S ribosomal RNA". It matches the Rfam family "Bacterial small subunit ribosomal RNA", at positions 28 to 523 of the family's 1533-position model. The record is from RNAcentral.
GACGAACGCUGGCGGCGUGCUUAACACAUGCAAGUCGAACGGUAAGGCCCUUCGGGGUACACGAGUGGCGAACGGGUGAGUAACACGUGUGUGAUCUGCCCUGCACAUCGGGAUAAGCCUGGGAAACUGGGUCUAAUACCGGAUAGGACCACUGCCUGCAUGGGUGGUGGUGGAAAGCUUUUGCGGUGUGGGAUGGGCCCGCGGCCUAUCAGCUUGUUGGUGGGGUGAUGGCCUACCAAGGCGACGACGGGUAGCCGGCCUGAGAGGGUGACCGGCCACACUGGGACUGAGAUACGGCCCAGACUCCUACGGGAGGCAGCAGUGGGGAAUAUUGCACAAUGGGCGCAAGCCUGAUGCAGCGACGCCGCGUGAGGGAUGACGGCCUUGGGUUGUAAACCUCUUUCAGCACCGACGAAGCGCAAGUGACGGUAGGUGCAGAAGAAGGACCGGCCAGCUACGUGCCAGCAGCCGCGGUAA